UUGAACGCUGGCGGCAGGCCUAACACAUGCCAGUCGAGCGGAUGAGUGGAGCUUGCUCCAUGAUUCAGCGGCGGACGGGUGAGUAAUGCCUAGGAAUCUGCCUGGUAGUGGGGGACAACGUUUCGAAAGGAACGCUAAUACCGCAUACGUCCUACGGGAGAAAGUGGGGGAUCUUCGGACCUCACGCUAUCAGAUGAGCCUAGGUCGGAUUAGCUAGUUGGUGAGGUAAAGGCUCACCAAGGCGACGAUCCGUAACUGGUCUGAGAGGAUGAUCAGUCACACUGGAACUGAGACACGGUCCAGACUCCUACGGGAGGCAGCAGUGGGGAAUAUUGGACAAUGGGCGAAAGCCUGAUCCAGCCAUGCCGCGUGUGUGAAGAAGGUCUUCGGAUUGUAAAGCACUUUAAGUUGGGAGGAAGGGCAGUAAGUUAAUACCUUGCUGUUUUGACGUUACCAACAGAAUAAGCACCGGCUAACUUCGUG
This 483-nucleotide ribosomal RNA is filed under the name uncultured bacterium. RNAcentral describes it as "partial 16S ribosomal RNA". It matches the Rfam family "Bacterial small subunit ribosomal RNA", at positions 30 to 507 of the family's 1533-position model. The record is from RNAcentral.